RNAcentral lists this ribosomal RNA (1474 nucleotides) under uncultured bacterium. RNAcentral's name for it is "bacterial SSU rRNA". It matches the Rfam family "Bacterial small subunit ribosomal RNA". The record is from RNAcentral.
UAGAGUUUGAUCCUGGCUCAGGAUGAACGCUGGCGGCGUGCUUAACACAUGCAAGUCGAACGGUCGCAAGACAGUGGCGCACGGGUGAGUAACACGUAGCUAACCUGCCCUCGAGAGUGGGAUAACGCCCCGAAAGGGGUGCUAAUACCGCAUAAGCUCACACUUUGUAGAGAGGUGUGAGAAAAGGCGAAAGCCGCUUGAGGAGGGGGCUGCGGCCCAUCAGCUAGAUGGUAGGGUAACGGCCUACCAUGGCGACGACGGGUAGGGGGUCUGAGAGGAUGGUCCCCCACACUGGGACUGAGACACGGCCCAGACUCCUACGGGAGGCAGCAGUGAGGAAUAUUGCACAAUGGGGGAAACCCUAAUGCAGCGACGCCGCGUGGGUGAUGAAGGUCUUCGGAUCGUAAAACCCUUUUCUAGAUGACGAGAACGGACGGUAGUCUAGGAAUAAGCCUCGGCUAACUACGUGCCAGCAGCCGCGGUAAAACGUAGGAGGCGAGCGUUAUCCGGAGUUACUGGGCGUAAAGCGCAUGUAGGCGGUUGCACAAGUUGCGUGUGAAAGCUCCCGGCUAAACUGGGAGAGGACACGUAAGACUGUGCGGCUGGAGGAUGGUAAGGGGCGUGGAAUUCCGGGUGUAGCGGUGAAAAUGUGUAGAGAUCCGGAGGAACACCAUGGCGCAAGCGACCGCCCUGGGGCCAUACCUUGACGCUGAGAUGCGAAAGCGUGGGGAGCGAACGGGAUUAGAGACCCCGGUAGUCCACCCGUAAACGAUGCUUGCUAGUUGUUCACUCGCAAGAGGGAGUGCCGAAGCUAACGCGAUAAGCAACCGCCUGGGGAGUACGGUCGCAAGGCUAAAACUCAAAGGAAUUGACGGGGGCCCGCACAAGCAGCGGAGCGUGUGGUUUAAUUCGAGGCUACACGAAGAACCUUACCUGGGCUUGACAUACGUGUGGUAGGGAACCGAAAGGGGACCGACCUUCGGGAGCACGUACAGGUGCUGCAUGGCUGUCGUCAGCUCGUGUCGUGAGAUGUUCGGUUAAGUCCGAAAACGAGCGCAACCCUCGGAAGUAGUUACACGUGUNUACUUCGACUGCCCGUGAGAAACGGGAGGAAGGUGGGGAUGACGUCAAGUCAGCAUGGCCUUUAUGUCCAGGGCUACACACACGCUACAAUGGCCAGUACAAUGGGACGCAAGACCGCGAGGUGGAGCCAAUCCAGAAAGCUGGUCGUAGUUCGGAUUGCAGGCUGCAACCCGCCUGCAUGAAGUCGGAGUUGCUAGUAACCGCGCGUCAGCCAUAGUGCGGUGAAUACGUUCCCGGGCCUUGUACACACCGCCCGUCACGUCAUGGGAGCUGGUCACGCCUGAAGCCGGCGAGCUAACCGCAAGGAGGCAGCCGUCGAAGGCAGGGCUGGUGACUGGGACGAAGUCGUAACAAGGUAGCUGUAGCGGAAGCUGCGGCUGGAUCACCUCCU